GCCUAUCUCUAACUCGGCUUGUUUCUAAAACCAGGCCGAUCAUCCAUGAGGAACGCUCUGUAAGUGAACUACUUGAGGAGAUCUAGCACCAAGAUGGCCAUCUAAGUGGCCCCUAAGAGACCCCAAACUCCAUUAUCAUCCCAUUGGCAAAUUAGAUAAUACCUUCAGUACCAGGACAGUUGAAGGUUGCCAUGACGACGACCAAACAUAACCAUAUAAAAUGGAUCAGAAGAGGUGGUGCCCUCGAUCCAGAAAAUUCCUACAUAUUCCCACAAAAGGCCUGAGCACCUCUCUUCUUUGUUAGCCUGCCCUCCCAUUUAUUUCUUUCACUGUGCUUAUGCUUCCCCCCUUUUGGAGGUGAAGAAGUUGACUUUGAACUCCACUCUGCCUUCUCCACUCUUUGUUUGGGCUCCGAAGUAACUUCUGCUUUCAUCAUGGACUCAGCUAUAUAUAGUCUUGUCUAUGUGGCACUAACGUUAAAACAAGUGAGAAUGAACACAUUUGCCUUUCGGCAUGGUUGGGAAACAUCUGGUCCGGACCGGAUGAUACUUGGGCUCCCGUAGGACACAAGAGAAAGAAAAAGAGAAAACCCACAAGCUGCCUGCAAGGUGAAACAUCCGGCAGUUCGGAGCGAAGAUCUGAAUUCCUGGCAGUAUGUCCCUGCAGCCAAGCUCAGUGUCUGCCGUGAAUUAUCUGCUCAGUGACAGUUGAACAAACUGAUAAAUGGAUGCAGCAUUAAA
Molecule: non-coding RNA, 740 nt
Organism: Rattus norvegicus (Norway rat)
Lineage: Eukaryota; Metazoa; Chordata; Mammalia; Rodentia; Muridae
Source: RefSeq, a predicted model, not a curated record